Molecule: ribosomal RNA, 441 nt
Filed under: uncultured bacterium
Lineage: Bacteria
Description: partial 16S ribosomal RNA
Rfam family: Bacterial small subunit ribosomal RNA
Source: RNAcentral
CCUACGGGUGGCAGCAGUGGGGAAUAUUGCACAAUGGAGGGAACUCUGAUGCAGCGACGCCGCGUGAGUGAAGAAGUAAUUCGUUAUGUAAAGCCCUAUCGGCAGGGAAGAAUUUAGACGGUACCUGACUAAGAAGCCCCGGCUAACUACGUGCCAGCAGCCGCGGUAAUACGUAGGGGGCAAGCGUUAUCCGGAUUCACUGGGUGGAAAGGGAGCGUAGACGGCCAGGCAAGCCUGGAGUGAAAGCCCGGGGCCCAACCACGGGACUGCUCUGGGAACUGUACGGCUGGAGUGCGGGAGGGGCCGGCGGAAUUCCUGGUGUAGCGGUGAAAUGCGUAGAUAUCAGGAGGAACACCGGCGGCGAAGGCGGCCUGCUGGACCGCGACUGACGUUGAGGCUCGAAAGCGUGGGGAGCGAACAGGAUUAGAUACCCUGGUAGUC